AUGGAUUGGAACCCUCAAGUCCUAUGUUGGAACGUGCGGGGGUUGAACAACAUGUCUAAAAGAAAUGCCGUGAGGAAUUUUAUUAGUGAGGCUAAGGUCAACUUGGUGUGUCUCCAAGAGACUAAACUUGAUGUAAUCGAUGUUUUCAUGGUUAUGCAAUGUAUAGGGCCAUCCUUUGAUGGCUUUGCUUACUUGCCAGCGACGGAUACUAGGGGUGGCAUUCUUGUCGGAUGG
Molecule: ribosomal RNA, 234 nt
Filed under: Triticum aestivum (bread wheat)
Lineage: Eukaryota; Viridiplantae; Streptophyta; Magnoliopsida; Poales; Poaceae
Description: partial small subunit ribosomal RNA
Source: RNAcentral